CAAAUGUACGUCCAAUGACUAAUGUGAGAAAAUGCUGAUUUUAUGUCACUAAUGUUUUCCCAUAUUUGUGUCACUAUACUGAGAAAGCAUGGCAGCUAAGCUCAAGAAAUCCUACACACAUGCUCUAUUACAGUAUAUCGUGCACUAAUGAUCUUUCAGGAAUGAUCUCUUACAGGGAGAAGUCAACAAACAGCCUCCCAUUGACUUCAGUGGACUUCGGAUCAGUCCCAUGGGAUUUAUCUUCAGAGACGUGCUGGAAUUCAUCUCACCUAAUUGCUUUAACAAAAUCCAGACUGCUUUUUCAGGAAAGGAGAAACUUGAGAGCAAACACUCUGGGAAUCCAAGAGAGUUCCAGCAAUGAAAAUAAACGCUUCAAGCAUCUUAAUGGCACCUUGAAAGUGGAGGGGAAAAGAAAGUCUUUAGCUGGAAUGAUACCCCCCCAAACAUUUAAUCCUGAGGACCCUUUCUGAGGAUUUCUAAUGGAGGAAACUGAGAAGG
Molecule: long non-coding RNA, 498 nt
Organism: Dromaius novaehollandiae (emu)
Lineage: Eukaryota; Metazoa; Chordata; Aves; Casuariiformes; Dromaiidae
Source: Ensembl